Molecule: ribosomal RNA, 429 nt
Filed under: uncultured bacterium
Lineage: Bacteria
Description: partial 16S ribosomal RNA
Rfam family: Bacterial small subunit ribosomal RNA
Source: RNAcentral
CCUACGGGAGGCUGCAGUCGAGAGGCUUCGGCAAUGGGGGAAACCCUGACCGAGCGACGCCGCGUGGGGGAUGAAGGCCCUUGGGUUGUAAACCCCUUUUAUUCGGGAAGCGGUACCGGAUGAAUAAGCUCCGGCUAACUCCGUGCCAGCAGCCGCGGUAACACGGGGGGAGCAAGCGUUGUUCGGAAUCACUGGGCGUAAAGGGCGUCUAGGCGGUCAGGUAAGUGGGAUGUGAAAUGCCCCGGCUCACCCGGGGACCGGCAUCUCAUACUGCUUGGCUUGAGUACGGGAGAGAUUGGGAAUUCCUGGUGUAGCGGUGAAAUGCGUAGAUAUCAGGAGGAACACCGGUGGCGAAGGCGCACAUCUGGCCGAACUGACGCUAAAGCGCGAAAGCUAGGGGAGCAAACGGGAUUAGAUACCCUUGUAGUC